This 216-nucleotide ribosomal RNA is filed under the name Glomeromycotina sp. RNAcentral's name for it is "partial small subunit ribosomal RNA". The stretch from base 40 to 216 matches the Rfam family "Eukaryotic small subunit ribosomal RNA", at positions 686 to 864 of the family's 1831-position model. Lineage: Eukaryota; Fungi; Glomeromycota. The record is from RNAcentral.
GGGUAAGUAGGUUGGUCGUGCCACCGGUACGUACUGGUCUCACUGAUUCCUCCUUCCUGAAGAACCGUAAUGCCAUUAAUUUGGUGUUGCGGGGAAACAGGACUGUUACUUUGAAAAAAUUAGAGUGUUUAAAGCAAGCUAACGCUUGAAUGCAUUAGCAUGGAAUAAUGAAAUAGGACGAUCGAUCCUAUUUUGUUGGUUUCUAGGAUUGACAUA